This 2016-nucleotide long non-coding RNA is filed under the name Equus caballus (horse). Its description in RNAcentral is "lncRNA (ENSECAG00000045589.1)". Lineage: Eukaryota; Metazoa; Chordata; Mammalia; Perissodactyla; Equidae. The record is from RNAcentral.
CCCGGAUGCGCCGCCUCCCGCCCUACAGUGAGCCCACCGCGGGGCCGCGGCGCUUCCCUCGGGGCCCGGGAGGUUCCGGCGGCGAGGCGCCUCUGCCCCUGCGUGACCAGCGGUGAGGCGCGGAACCGAGGCGCCGGGGCCGGGGUCCGAGGGCGGCGCGGCCGGGCCUGCCCGGCGAGAGGCUCCGUCUGAAGCUGUGUGCGGACAAAGAGGCGGCCGCAGCAAGUAAAACAGUGCUCGGGCCGUUUCACGUCGAGCAGCUCGGGGUGGGAGGAAGCGGAGGUGCCCUCACCGCGCCGAGCACGUCCUCGGAUCGACCCCGCGGCCGAGCACAGGGCUGCUCCUGAACCGGCUGGGGCCGCCGGGGAGCGGCCGAAGCGGACUGGGGCUGGGGGACUGUCGGCGGCGCCUUCGUCCGGCCCUGCUGAGCCCUGCGCCGGCGACGGGCAUGCGGGGGGUCCAGGACCAGGGGUGGGCGGUGAGAGGGGAGGCCACCGGCUGGCACCGCCGGAAGAGGCAGCCAGGCCUCGGGGGACAGAAACGCCCGGCUCCUUGCAGAAUGGGGACUGUUUGGGGAAGUGUCUCCUGCGUAGUUCCCCGAGGGGGCCCUUCCCCUGUGCUCCUGGGGAGACACUCCCGGGCACGGAUUCCAGCACCUAGCCGUACCUCACCCCGAAGAGGGGACAAAACCCUGGUCCUCUGUUACUCACACUAGGCAUAACCAACCGUUCUUUUCUUAAAUUAAUUUUUUACUUAAGUCGUUCAGAGGUUUGUGUCUUGCUUGCCAGCCAAGAGCUGGAAUGAUGAGAGACUAAUGUUUAUAUUACUUAAAUGGUCCCACUUUUACUUUUUAAAUAAAUGCUAUGUAUGUUCACAGAAGCAGCCCAAAGGCUGUAAGCAAAAAAUAUUAGCGAAGAUUAUCUCUGUAAUUUACUCUCUUGUUUUAUGUGUAUUUACAUUUUCCAAGUAUUCUAAAAUAAAAGUUGUUUUGUAAAAGUACUUAUAUAAUAUUUUGAAAAAAGUGAAUCACGAUUGACCUGUUAAUGUACCACAAGGGAACUUCAUCUUGAAGUUUGUAUCUCUUUUAAAAAUUCCGUAUCAAGAAAAAAUACUGUAUCGCUGGGGGAAAAAAAAGAUUUGCAAAUCAUGUAUCUGAUAAAGUACUUAUAUUCAGAAUAUGUAAAGAAUUCUUACAACUCAAUAAUUAGACUAACAAUCCAAUUUAAAAUGGGGGAAAGAAUUGAAUAGACAUUUUACCAAACAAAAUAUUUAAAUGGUGAAAGAUGGUGUGAAAAGAUGCUCAUAUCAUUAGUCACUAGGGAAAUGCAAAUCAGAACUGCCGUGAGAAAGCUUUUCACACCCAACUGCAAGGGCCCUAAUGAAAAUGACUGACAAUAACCAGCAUUGGGAAGGAGAGGUUAGAACCCUCAUACAUUGCUGGUGGGGAUGUGAAAUGGUGCUGCCACUUCUCAAAAGUUUGUUAGGUUCUUAAAAAGUUAUACAUGAAAGUACCAUGUGACCCAACAGUUCCACCCCUAGGUAUAUACCCAAGAAAAUUGAAUAUGUGUCCAUGUAGCAAGUUGUACGUAAAUAUUCAUAACAGCAUUAUUCAUGAUAUCCAAAAGGUGGAAACAAUCCAAAUGUCCAGCAACUGACGAAUGGAUAAAAUGUGGUAUAUCCAUACAAUGGAACACUAUUCAGCAAUAAAACAGAAUGAAAUAUUCAUAAAAGAUACAACAUAGAGGAACCUCAAAAACAUUAAGCUAAGUGAAAGAAGCCAGAUGCCAAAGAGCAUAUAUUGUAUGAUUUCAUUUAUAUGAAAUGCCUAGAAAAGGCAAAUCUGUAGAGACAGUGGAUUAGUGGUUGGCUGGGGGUAGGAAUGGGGAGUGACGGCAAAGGGGCAGAAGAGAUCUUUCUGGAGUGACAGAAAUGUUCAAAAAUUGGAUUGUAAUGGUUUCACAAGUCUGUAGGUUUACUAGAAAUCAUUGAAUAGUAGAUUUGAAACUGGUGACUUUU